This 367-nucleotide ribosomal RNA is filed under the name uncultured organism. Its description in RNAcentral is "partial 16S ribosomal RNA". It matches the Rfam family "Bacterial small subunit ribosomal RNA", at positions 527 to 896 of the family's 1533-position model. The record is from RNAcentral.
GGAGGGUCCAAGCGUUGUCCGGAUUUAUUGGGUGUAAAGGGUGUGUAGGCGGGCUUGUAAGUCAGAGGUGAAAUCCUACGGCUCAACCGUAGAACUGCCUUUGAAACUGCAGGUCUUGAGUCCUGGAGAGGUUGUUAGAAUUCGUGGUGUAGCGGUGAAAUGCGUAGAUAUCACGAGGAAUACCGGUUACGAAGGUUGACAACUGGACAGGUACUGACGCUGAGGCACGAAAGCGUGGGGAGCAAACAGGAUUAGAUACCCUGGUAGUCCACGCCGUAAACGAUGAUCACUCGGUGUCGCGGAGCAAUCUGCGGUGCCUAAGCUAACGCAUUAAGUGAUCCACCUGGGGAGUACGAUCGCAAGGUUG